GGAUGGGUAGGGGAGCGUCGUGUGCCGGGUGAAGCCGCAGCGGAAGCUAGUGGUGGACGGUUCACGAGUGAGAAUGCAGGCAUGAGUAGCGAUACACACGUGAGAAACGUGUGCGCCGAUUGACUAAGGGUUCCUGGGUCAAGCUGAUCUGCCCAGGGUAAGUCGGGACCUAAGGCGAGGCCGACAGGCGUAGUCGAUGGAUAACCGGUUGAUAUUCCGGUACCCGCUGUGAAGCGUCAAACAUUGAACCAGGCGAUGCUAAGUCCGUGAAGCCGCCCUGGAGCCUUCGGGCAAAGGGGAGUGGUGGAGCCGACGGACCAGACCUGUAGUAGGUGAGUGAUGGGGUGACGCAGGAAGGUAGUCCAGCCCGGGCGGUGGUUGUCCCGGGGUAAGGGUGUAGGACGUCAGGUAGGUAAAUCCGCCUGGCAAUAGUCUGAGACCUGAUGCCGAGCCGAUUGUGGUGAAGUGGAUGAUCCUAUGCUGUCGAGAAAAGCCUCUAGCGAGUUUCAUGGCGGCCCGUACCCUAAACCGACUCAGGUGGUCAGGUAGAGAAUACCGAGGCGUUCGGGUGAACUAUGGUUAAGGAACUCGGCAAAAUGCCCCCGUAACUUCGGGAGAAGGGGGGCCAUCACUGGUGAUCGGAUUUACUCCGUGAGCUGGGGGUGGCCGCAGAGACCAGCGAGAAGCGACUGUUUACUAAAAACACAGGUCCGUGCGAAGCCGUAAGGCGAUGUAUACGGACUGACGCCUGCCCGGUGCUGGAACGUUAAGGGGACCGGUUAGUGCACUUUCGGGUGUGCGAAGCUGAGAACUUAAGCGCCAGUAAACGGCGGUGGUAACUAUAACCAUCCUAAGGUAGCGAAAUUCCUUGUCGGGUAAGUUCCGACCUGCACGAAUGGCGUAACGACUUCUCGACUGUCUCAACCAUAGGCCCGGUGAAAUUGCACUACGAGUAAAGAUGCUCGUUUCGCGCAGCAGGACGGAAAGACCCCGGGACCUUUACUACAGUUUGAUAUUGGUGUUCGGUUCGGCUUGUGUAGGAUAGCUGGGAGACUUUGAAGCGGGCACGCCAGUGUCUGUGGAGUCGUCGUUGAAAUACCAGUCUGGUCGUGCUGGAUGUCUAACCUGGGUCCGUGAUCCGGAUCAGGGACAGUGUCUGAUGGGUAGUUUAACUGGGGCGGUUGCCUCCUAAAGAGUAACGGAGGCGCCCAAAGGUUCCCUCAGCCUGGUUGGCAAUCAGGUGUUGAGUGUAAGUGCACAAGGGAGCUUGACUGUGAGACCGACGGGUCGAGCAGGGACGAAAGUCGGGACUAGUGAUCCGGCGGUGGCUUGUGGAAGCGCCGUCGCUCAACGGAUAAAAGGUACCCCGGGGAUAACAGGCUGAUCUUCCCCAAGAGUCCAUAUCGACGGGAUGGUUUGGCACCUCGAUGUCGGCUCGUCGCAUCCUGGGGCUGGAGUCGGUCCCAAGGGUUGGGCUGUUCGCCCAUUAAAGCGGUACGCGAGCUGGGUUUAGAACGUCGUGAGACAGUUCGGUCCCUAUCCGCUGUGCGCGUAGGAAUAUUGAGAAGGGCUGUCCCUAGUACGAGAGGACCGGGACGGACGAACCUCUGGUGUGCCAGUUGUCCUGCCAAGGGCAUGGCUGGUUGGCUACGUUCGGGAGGGAUAACCGCUGAAAGCAUCUAAGCGGGAAGCCUGCUUCGAGAUGAGUAUUCCCACCAACUAGAUUGGUUAAGGCUCCCAGUAGACGACUGGGUUGAUAGGCCGGAUGUGGAAGCCCCGUAAGGGGUGAAGCUGACUGGUACUAAUAGGCCGAGGGCUUGUCCUC
This 1825-nucleotide ribosomal RNA is filed under the name Streptomyces sp. ActVer. RNAcentral describes it as "partial 23S ribosomal RNA". It matches the Rfam family "Bacterial large subunit ribosomal RNA", at positions 1222 to 2925 of the family's 2925-position model. The record is from RNAcentral. Lineage: Bacteria; Bacillati; Actinomycetota; Actinomycetes; Kitasatosporales; Streptomycetaceae.